Thalassophryne amazonica is the source of this 189-nucleotide long non-coding RNA. RefSeq lists it as uncharacterized. The transcript is spliced from 3 exons. The record is from RefSeq and is a predicted model, not a curated record. Lineage: Eukaryota; Metazoa; Chordata; Actinopteri; Batrachoidiformes; Batrachoididae.
AACAGUCUAUUCUAGAUGUUUGCAGUCUUCAUGCACUGAUAUGGGAGCAAAGCAGACUCCAUCAGAGAAAAUCUCUCUGUGUGCUACCUUUACCUAGUUUAGCCCACAAGCCAAUGUGGUUUAUUGGGUUGUGGCCAUCGCCAUGCACAAGCAACUACUUGGAUCCAUAAGCAAUUGUUAGCUCAGCAG